This 1346-nucleotide ribosomal RNA is filed under the name uncultured bacterium. Its description in RNAcentral is "partial 16S ribosomal RNA". It matches the Rfam family "Bacterial small subunit ribosomal RNA", at positions 28 to 1381 of the family's 1533-position model. The record is from RNAcentral.
GACGAACGCUGGCGGCGUGCUUAACACAUGCAAGUCGAACGGAAAGGCCCUGCUUUUGUGGGGUGCUCGAGUGGCGAACGGGUGAGUAACACGCGAGUAACCUGCCCUUGACUUUGGGAUAACUUCAGGAAACUGGGGCUAAUACCGGAUAGGAGCUCCUGCUGCAUGGUGGGGGUUGGAAAGUUUCGACGGUUGGGGAUGGACUCGCGGCUUAUCAGCUUGUUGGUGGGGUAGUGGCUUACCAAGGCUUUGACGGGUAGCCGGCCUGAGAGGGUGACCGGCCACAUUGGGACUGAGAUACGGCCCAGACUCCUACGGGAGGCAGCAGUGGGGAAUAUUGCACAAUGGGCGGAAGCCUGAUGCAGCAACGCCGCGUGCGGGAUGACGGCCUUCGGGUUGUAAACCGCUUUCGCCUGUGACGAAGCGUGAGUGACGGUAAUGGGUAAAGAAGCACCGGCUAACUACGUGCCAGCAGCCGCGGUGAUACGUAGGGUGCGAGCGUUGUCCGGAUUUAUUGGGCGUAAAGGGCUCGUAGGUGGUUGAUCGCGUCGGAAGUGUAAUCUUGGGGCUUAACCCUGAGCGUGCUUUCGAUACGGGUUGACUUGAGGAAGGUAGGGGAGAAUGGAAUUCCUGGUGGAGCGGUGGAAUGCGCAGAUAUCAGGAGGAACACCAGUGGCGAAGGCGGUUCUCUGGGCCUUUCCUGACGCUGAGGAGCGAAGGCGUGGGGAGCGAACAGGCUUAGAUACCCUGGUAGUCCACGCUGUAAACGGUGGGUACUAGGUGUGGGGUCCAUUCCACGGGUUCCGUGCCGUAGCUAACGCUUUAAGUACCCCGCCUGGGGAGUACGGCCGCAAGGCUAAAACUCAAAGGAAUUGACGGGGCCCCGCACAAGCGGCGGAGCAUGCGGAUUAAUUCGAUGCAACGCGUAGAACCUUACCUGGGUUUGACAUGGGUCGGGAGUGCUCAGAGAUGGGUGUGCCUCUUUUGGGGUCGGUUCACAGGUGGUGCAUGGCUGUCGUCAGCUCGUGUCGUGAGAUGUUGGGUUAAGUCCCGCAACGAGCGCAACCCUUGUUCACUGUUGCCAGCACGUUAUGGUGGGGACUCAGUGGAGACCGCCGGGGUCAACUCGGAGGAAGGUGGGGAUGACGUCAAGUCAUCAUGCCCCUUAUGUCCAGGGCUUCACGCAUGCUACAAUGGCUGGUACAGAGAGUGGCGAGCCUGUGAGGGUGAGCGAAUCUCGGAAAGCCGGUCUCAGUUCGGAUUGGGGUCUGCAACUCGACCUCAUGAAGUCGGAGUCGCUAGUAAUCGCAGAUCAGCAACGCUGCGGUGAAUACGUUCCCGGGGCU